Molecule: ribosomal RNA, 500 nt
Filed under: bacterium enrichment culture clone ALO1_GLFRUDD03F2QPI
Lineage: Bacteria
Description: bacterial SSU rRNA
Rfam family: Bacterial small subunit ribosomal RNA
Source: RNAcentral
GAGUUUGAUCAUGGCUCAGAUUGAACGCUGGCGGCAUGCCUUACACAUGCAAGUCGAACGGCAGCACGGGAGCUUGCUCCUGGUGGCGAGUGGCGAACGGGUGAGUAAUGCAUCGGAACGUAUCCUGGAGUGGGGGAUAACGUAGCGAAAGUUACGCUAAUACCGCAUAUUCUGUGAGCAGGAAAGCGGGGGACCUUCGGGCCUUGCGCUAUCAGAUGAGCCUAGGUCGGAUUAGCUAGUUGGUGGGGUAAUGGCUCACCAAGGCGACGAUCCGUAACUGGUCUGAGAGGAUGAUCAGUCACACUGGAACUGAGACACGGUCCAGACUCCUACGGGAGGCAGCAGUGGGGAAUAUUGGACAAUGGGCGAAAGCCUGAUCCAGCCAUGCCGCGUGUGUGAAGAAGGUCUUCGGAUUGUAAAGCACUUUAAGUUGGGAGGAAGGGCAGUAAGUUAAUACCUUGCUGUCUUGACGUUACCGACAGAAUAAGCACCGGCUAACU